CGUAACGCGUGGGAAUCUACCUUUUAGUGGGGGAUAGCCCGGAGAAAUCCGGAUUAAUACCGCAUAAGCCCUACGGGGGAAAAGGGGCCUCUUCUUGAAAGCUCUUGCUAUUAGAUGAGCCCGCGUAAGAUUAGCUUGUUGGUGGGGUAAAAGCCUACCAAGGCAACGAUCUUUAGCUGGUCUGAGAGGAUGAUCAGCCACACUGGGACUGAGACACGGCCCAGACUCC
RNAcentral lists this ribosomal RNA (229 nucleotides) under uncultured bacterium. Its description in RNAcentral is "partial 16S ribosomal RNA". It matches the Rfam family "Bacterial small subunit ribosomal RNA", at positions 109 to 339 of the family's 1533-position model. The record is from RNAcentral.